AGCUCCAAUAGCGUAUAUUAAAGUUGUUGCAGUUAAAAAGCUCGUAGUUGGAUUUCUGGUUGGUGUUCUACGGUCUCGCGCAAGCGGUGAACUGUUGAUGCUGACCUUCCUCCUGAUGUCUGCGUUGUUCUUAAUUGGAUGGCGUAGAAGUUGGGACCUUUACUUUGAAAAAAUUAGAGUGUUCAAAGCAGGCCUUUGCUUGAAUACAUUAGCAUGGAAUAAUGGAAUAGGACUUGUGUUCUAUUUUGUUGGUUUCUAGGACAUAAGUAAUGAUUAAUAGGGACAGUUGGGGGCAUUAGUAUUUAAUUGUCAGAGGUGAAAUUCUUGGAUUUAUGAAAGACUAACUACUGCGAAAGCAUUUGCCAAGGAUGUUUUCAUUAAUCAAGAACGAAAGUACGCA
RNAcentral lists this ribosomal RNA (400 nucleotides) under phytoplankton environmental sample. RNAcentral describes it as "partial small subunit ribosomal RNA". It matches the Rfam family "Eukaryotic small subunit ribosomal RNA", at positions 587 to 995 of the family's 1831-position model. The record is from RNAcentral.